ACGUAGGAAGCGAGCGUUAUCCGGAUUUACUGGGCGUAAAGUGGACGUAGGCGGCAUUUCAAGUCGGAUGUGAAAUCUCUUGGCUUAACCAGGAGGGGUCAUCCGAUACUGUUGGUCUCGAGGAUAGCAGAGGAAGGUGGAAUUCCCGGUGUAGUGGUUAAAUGCGUAGAUAUCGGGAGGAACACCAGUGGCGAAGGCGGCCUACCAGGCUAUUUCUGACGCUGAGGCUCGAAAGUGAGGGUAGCAAACAG
Molecule: ribosomal RNA, 251 nt
Filed under: uncultured prokaryote
Description: partial 16S rRNA
Rfam family: Bacterial small subunit ribosomal RNA
Source: RNAcentral